RNAcentral lists this long non-coding RNA (374 nucleotides) under Manihot esculenta (cassava). RNAcentral describes it as "long non-coding RNA (MESC_LNC002747)". Lineage: Eukaryota; Viridiplantae; Streptophyta; Magnoliopsida; Malpighiales; Euphorbiaceae. The record is from RNAcentral.
UGUUACCUAUUCCGAUCACUCAGAUUCGUAUAUCCGGAUAUACCAAUGUAUCAUUUCUGUCAGAUAUCCAUAUAAUUCCUCUAGCAAGCAUGCUGAUAGAAUUACGAGGUGACUGGACAUACUCUCCUACCUCCCAUCACAUUAUUAAGCUGGGCUUUCUUCUGGUGGACCCAAGUAUCGAGUCAAUCUGGUUUGCUUUAGUCACAGGUUGAAAGGCGCGAUAUUGGGCUGCUAUGCUCAAAGGGAGCUAAUGGAUUUUAAGUUUAUAUUCUUUUUAGGAUCUGGUUUUCUAGUUUGAUGGUUUUCAUUAGUUCAUCAGUCAUUAUUAUUAUUACCUGUUAUAUUCAAACUUAAUUAUUUAUAUUAAUACAAAU